AGUGAACGCUGGCGGUAGGCCUAACACAUGCAAGUCGAACGGCAGCACAGUAAGAGCUUGCUCUUACGGGUGGCGAGUGGCGGACGGGUGAGGAAUACAUCGGAAUCUACUUUUUCGUGGGGGAUAACGUAGGGAAACUUACGCUAAUACCGCAUACGACCUACGGGUGAAAGCAGGGGAUCUUCGGACCUUGCGCGAUUGAAUGAGCCGAUGUCGGAUUAGCUAGUUGGCGGGGUAAAGGCCCACCAAGGCGACGAUCCGUAGCUGGUCUGAGAGGAUGGUCAGCCACACUGGAACUGGGACACGGUCCAGACUCCUACGGGAGGCAGCAGUGGGGAAUAUUGGACAAUGGGGGCAAGCCUGACCCAGCCAUACCGCGUGGGUGAAGAAGGCCUUCGGGUUGUAAAGCCCUUUUGUUGGGAAAGAAAAGCAGCAGGUUAAUACCCCGCUGUUCUGACGGUACCCAAAGAAUAAGCACCGGCUAACUUCGUG
This 492-nucleotide ribosomal RNA is filed under the name uncultured bacterium. RNAcentral's name for it is "partial 16S ribosomal RNA". It matches the Rfam family "Bacterial small subunit ribosomal RNA", at positions 29 to 507 of the family's 1533-position model. The record is from RNAcentral.